This 465-nucleotide ribosomal RNA is filed under the name uncultured bacterium. RNAcentral's name for it is "partial 16S ribosomal RNA". It matches the Rfam family "Bacterial small subunit ribosomal RNA", at positions 28 to 507 of the family's 1533-position model. The record is from RNAcentral.
GAUGAACGCUGGCGGCGUGCUUAACACAUGCGAGUCGAACAGAAAGGCUCCUGCUUGCAGGGGUACUCGAGUGGCGAACGGGUGAGUAACACGUGGGUGAUCUGCCCUGCACUUCGGGAUAAGCCUGGGAAACUGGGUCUAAUACCGGAUAGGACGAUGGUUUGGAUGCCAUUGUGGAAAGUUUUUCGGUGUGGGAUGAGCUCGCGGCCUAUCAGCUUGUUGGUGGGGUAAUGGCCUACCAAGGCGUCGACGGGUAGCCGGCCUGAGAGGGUGUACGGCCACAUUGGGACUGAGAUACGGCCCAGACUCCUACGGGAGGCAGCAGUGGGGAAUAUUGCACAAUGGGCGCAAGCCUGAUGCAGCGACGCCGCGUGGGGGAUGACGGCCUUCGGGUUGUAAACUCCUUUCGCUAGGGACGAAGCGCAAGUGACGGUACCUGGAGAAGAAGCACCGGCUAACUACGUG